UCCUUCCUUAGGCAUUGUAAGCCUAAGUACACCAUAGCAGUAAUGUCACGUAGAGGUACUUGUGCUACUGUAGUGGUGCAUUUUGGUAAAAAAAAAAAAUUUCUAUCAAGAUUCUGUAUGCUUUAUGGAUCCACCAGACAUCAUGUUGGCUGAAGAAGGCCCAUCAGUUGAGGAGGAUGAGGAGACUGUGUCUGUAUGUUCAAGGAGGCCUGAGGAUGCUGACACUGUUCUAGAGCCCUCUCAGUCUGGGACCACAUGUGACAAAGUGAGUAUUAAGAAAUGAAAACAAUGUGACAAG
This is a long non-coding RNA of Carassius carassius (crucian carp), 298 nucleotides long. RefSeq lists it as uncharacterized. NCBI's taxonomy places the organism in Eukaryota, Metazoa, Chordata, Actinopteri, Cypriniformes, Cyprinidae. The record is from RefSeq and is a predicted model, not a curated record. The transcript has 3 exons.